GUGUUCGCUUUGGUAGUAUAUGUACUAAAAUUGGAAUGAUUCAGAGUAGAUUAGCAUGGCCCCUAAAAAAAAAUCACUGAGAAGUCAAAGAUUGGCUU
This 98-nucleotide small nuclear RNA is filed under the name Microtus ochrogaster (prairie vole). Lineage: Eukaryota; Metazoa; Chordata; Mammalia; Rodentia; Cricetidae. The record is from RNAcentral.